RNAcentral lists this unclassified non-coding RNA (1610 nucleotides) under Rattus norvegicus (Norway rat). RNAcentral describes it as "pregnancy-induced noncoding RNA transcript C". The record is from RNAcentral. Lineage: Eukaryota; Metazoa; Chordata; Mammalia; Rodentia; Muridae.
UGUUCCUGGUUAAGAUGAUUGAGCAAAAAGGAUCCAUUCACAGCUCCGGCAACAUCUCUGGAAUAACUGUGUGAAGGAACUCUGCCAAGAGCUGGAAUUGCAGUUAACAUAGAAGCUUGAGGCAUAGAUAGCUGUAUCAUCUGGUUAAUAACUGCCAUUUGAAGGAGUCUGCAACACAGUGUGACCAAUUGCCUCAGUGUGUCCAGGUCUAUCCUAGUUUCCUGAGGCACAUACUUCCCAUCUUACAAGUGGAAAUAGAGCAAAAACCAUAUACACAGGCUCUUGGGAUUUGAAUGUGAAAUGAUGCUCAAAUGUUGGACUACUUAUCCUCACUUUGGGGAGCAGCUUGGAGCACAGAUAUCUGUACCAUCUGCUUAGAAACUUCCAUUUGAAGAAGUUUGCAAUAUGGUGUGAUCAAGUUGCUUCGGAGGUAUGACGGGGAACGUGCUCUAUGAAACAGAACCCUAGAAACACUUACUGAAUUUGAACUUUGUGUUGCUUUCUGAUAUCCGUGCUUGGGAUUCUGAAUGACUCCAGUUGGAUUUGAUUGGACCCASGGUAGCGAGAGAAAUGAGGGGACAAGGCAUACACAUAGUGCAUAAGCAGGUCAGCCAACCUCAUAAACAGGCACCUCACUAGAAACAUCUGCACAGCCUUUUAGUGAAGAGUUGGGUAUCUAGAGCUAUCAUGAUUGAGUGGGAAGGAGAUCACUGCCUCCCUCAGGAGGCCUUCCUGAGAUUUGUGAGAUGGCAAGAAUGAGAUUGGGAAAGUGGGRAGACAGAAGGCCUCGUCCUUGUCCUGAGCAUCGAGUCCCUGCUGGCUCUCAAGAGUCUGCUCCACUUCUUGCAAGGUCACACACUUUUAUUUUAUGUUACAGUCAGGCUGAAAGAGACAUGGAGCACUCUGGGGGUAUUAACCAGGAAGAAAUACAAUUCAGAUUUAAGCAGAGGAAAGAGAAGCCUCAGCCAGCUGCAUGGGAACAGGAAGGACAUUACAUGCUACUUUAGCUGGUCUCUUUCCUGCUGGGGCAAGUCAAUGCGUAAAUGAUAAAAUUUAUAGUGCAUGGAGGGUUGAGAGCCAGACUCGCAUCAUUUGAGUCUGAAUUCCGGUCCUGAAUAGAGUGCUUAUUGUCUCCCUUGGUCCCCCUCUUCCAAUGGAACCAGUCUCUGCCGGGUAGCAUCACAGAGUCUUCUCACAGAGUUGGAGGUAUUAGCAAAGCAGGGCUUGGUUUGGAGAGUGAGACAUUGACACUGAUCUUUAGUUAAAAUGGUCUCUUCUCAGGAAGACUCAUGACAUCAUACAUUUCUAGAACAGGACAGAUCUUCAAAAACAUGAACUGCAAGUUUCCUAUCCAUAGUGGAAGGUGGAAACGGAAGGAAGAAGGCAUGGUCCGGUCUUUCAGGAAGACUCUGCAGGAAGGAUACCACGGACAAGGGCUGAAAAUCUAAAUCCAACUCUGAAAACAUCACGUGACAGACACUGCCUUACCAUGUACACACCCAGAUGAUCCAACUUUCAUGUCAAGACAGUGUUCAUCUGAAAAAGACCCAAAAAAAAAAAAAAAAAAAAAAAAAAAAAAAAAAAAAAAAAAAAAAAAAAAAAAAAAAAAA